This 254-nucleotide ribosomal RNA is filed under the name uncultured bacterium. Its description in RNAcentral is "partial 16S ribosomal RNA". It matches the Rfam family "Bacterial small subunit ribosomal RNA", at positions 524 to 776 of the family's 1533-position model. The record is from RNAcentral.
UACAGAGGGUGCGAGCGUUAAUCGGAAUUACUGGGCGUAAAGCGUGCGCAGGCGGUUCGUUAAGACAGAUGUGAAAUCCCCGGGCUUAACCUGGGAACUGCAUUUGUGACUGGCGAGCUAGAGUAUGGCAGAGGGGGGGUAGAAUUCCACGUGUAGCAGUGAAAUGCGUAGAGAUGUGGAGGAAUACCGAUGGCGAAGGCAGCCCCCUGGGCCAAUACUGACGCUCAUGCACGAAAGCGUGGGGAGCAAACAGG